AUUGAACGCUGGCGGCAUGCCUUACACAUGCAAGUCGAACGGCAGCACGGGAGCAAUCCUGGUGGCGAGUGGCGAACGGGUGAGUAAUGUAUCGGAACGUACCCCGUCGUGGGGGAUAACACAGCGAAAGCUGUGCUAAUACCGCAUACGACCUGAGGGUGAAAGCGGGGGAUCGCAAGACCUCGCGCGAUGGGAGCGGCCGAUAUCGGAUUAGCUUGUUGGUGAGGUAAAGGCUCACCAAGGCGACGAUCCGUAGCGGGUCUGAGAGGAUGAUCCGCCACACUGGGACUGAGACACGGCCCAGACUCCUACGGGAGGCAGCAGUGGGGAAUUUUGGACAAUGGGCGAAAGCCUGAUCCAGCCAUUCCGCGUGAGUGAAGAAGGCC
This 386-nucleotide ribosomal RNA is filed under the name uncultured bacterium. Its description in RNAcentral is "bacterial SSU rRNA". It matches the Rfam family "Bacterial small subunit ribosomal RNA", at positions 29 to 416 of the family's 1533-position model. The record is from RNAcentral.